AGCCUUUCGAAAGAAAGAUUAAUACCCGAUGGCAUAAUAGAACCGCAUGGUUUGAUUAUUAAAGAAUUUCGGUUAUCGAUGGGGAUGCGUUCCAUUAGGCAGUUGGUGGGGUAACGGCCCACCAAACCUUCGAUGGAUAGGGGUUCUGAGAGGAAGGUCCCCCACAUUGGAACUGAGACACGGUCCAAACUCCUACGGGAGGCAGCAGUGAGGAAUAUUGGUCAAUGGACGAGAGUCUGAACCAGCCAAGUAGCGUGAAGGAUGACUGCCCUAUGGGUUGUAAACUUCUUUUGUAUGGGAAUAAAGUGGUCCACGUGUGGAUUUUUGUAUGUACCAUAUGAAUAAGGAUCGGCUAACUCCGUGCCAGCAGCCGCGGUAAUACGGAGGAUCCGAGCGUUAUCCGGAUUUAUUGGGUUUAAAGGGAGCGUAGGUGGACAGUUAAGUCAGUUGUGAAAGUUUGCGGCUCAACCGUAAAAUUGCAGUUGAUACUGGCUGUCUUGAGUACAGUAGAGGUGGGCGGAAUUCGUGGUGUAGCCGGUGAAAUGCUUAGAUAUCACGAAGAACUCCGAUUGCGAAGGCAGCUCACUGG
Molecule: ribosomal RNA, 589 nt
Filed under: uncultured Bacteroidales bacterium
Lineage: Bacteria; Pseudomonadati; Bacteroidota; Bacteroidia; Bacteroidales
Description: bacterial SSU rRNA
Rfam family: Bacterial small subunit ribosomal RNA
Source: RNAcentral